GGCAGCAUAGUGUCCAGUGCCUCCACAUGUGAAGCAUUUGACAGAUUUUCUAAAAUCUUUAGUGAAAGGUUUGACAACCUUGUUCCUCUCAUUAGACCUAUCAGUUGAUGGUCUAAAAUGACUCUCACUACCAAAGCUGCCCUCUCUAGCAAACUUACCCUUAUCCUUAAGAAUUCUCCUAAAUUUUUUGACAAACAAGGCCAUCUCAUCCUCAAAAACAGAGGAUUUUUCACUACCUUUCGGAGAGGCAACAUGCACUCCUUGAAG
Molecule: long non-coding RNA, 267 nt
Filed under: Prunus persica (peach)
Lineage: Eukaryota; Viridiplantae; Streptophyta; Magnoliopsida; Rosales; Rosaceae
Description: long non-coding RNA (PPER_LNC002987)
Source: RNAcentral